GUCUGCUUGUUAUUUUCUGCAACAAGAUGGCUGUGGUUCCUGAGAGCAGAGUCCUCACAUUCGGUGUUUUUAAAUGGAGCUCUUACUCCUCUACAUAUUUACCCGAGAAUAUCUUGGUGGACAAACCUAAUGAUCAGUCUUCCAGGUGGUCUUCUGAGAGCAACUACCCUCCACAGUUUUUAAUUUUGAAAUUGGAAAGGCCGGCGAUUGUUCAGAGCAUCACUUUUGGAAAAUAUGAGAAGACUCACGUGUGCAACUUGAAGAAGUUUAAAGUGUUCGGUGGGAUGAGUGAAGAAAACAUGACAGAGCUUUUGUCCAGUGGCCUUAAGAAUGACUACAAUAAGGAAACGUUCACCUUAAAGCACAAGAUUGAUGAGCAGAUGUUUCCCUGCAGAUUUGUCAAAAUAGUGCCUCUGAUGUCUUGGGGUCCAAGUUUUAAUUUCAGCAUCUGGUACAUUGAGCUGCACGGUAUUGAAGAUCCUGAUGUGGUGCAGCCCUGCCUUAACUGGUACAGCAAGUACAGAGAACAGGAAGCCAUCCGCCUUUGCCUGAAGCAUUUCCGUCAGCAUAACUACACAGAGGCCUUUGAGUCGCUGCAGAAGAAAACCCGGAUAGCGCUGGAGCAUCCGAUGCUCACCCACCUGCACGACCGCCUGGUGCUGCAGGGAGACUUUGAUGCUUGUGAGGAGCUCAUAGACAAAGCUGUGAGAGACGGUCUGUUUAACCAGUACAUCAGCCAGCAGGAGUACAAGCCCCGGUGGAGUCAGAUCAUCCCCAAAUGCAACAAAGGUACCCAAGAAAUCAACCGAGACGACAUGACGAGUGACGGUGACGACAACAGGCCCGGGAUGAGGGGAGGACACCAAAUGGUCAUCGAUGUGCAGACUGAAACCGUUUACCUGUUCGGAGGCUGGGACGGCACUCAGGACCUCGCUGACUUCUGGGCUUAUAGCGUUCAGGAGAACCAGUGGGCCUGCAUCUCCAGAGACACCGAGAAGGAGAGUGGUCCGAGUGCUCGUUCGUGCCACAAGAUGUGCAUCGACUCCCAGCGGCGUCAGAUCUACACUCUGGGCCGGUACCUGGACUCCAGCGUCAGGAACAGCAAGUCUCUGAAGAGCGACUUCUACCGUUACGACAUCGACGCCAACACCUGGACGCUGCUCAGCGAGGACACGUCCGCGGACGGAGGACCCAAGUUGGUGUUUGACCACCAGAUGUGCAUGGACUCGGAGAAGCACAUGAUUUACACGUUCGGCGGUCGGAUCCUGACGUGUAACGGCAGCGUGGAGGACAGCCGGACGUCGGAGCCCCAGUUUAGCGGCCUGUACGCCUACCACUGCCAGGCCGCCACGUGGAGCCUCCUGCGGGAAGACUCAUGUAACGCUGGGCCGGAGGACGUCCAGUCCCGCAUCGGACACUGCAUGCUGUUCCACACUAGGAACCGCUGUCUGUACGUGUUCGGAGGUCAGAGGUCAAAGACGUACCUCAACGACUUCUUCAGCUACGAUGUGGACGGAGACCACGUAGAGAUCAUAUCUGACGGCACCAAGAAGGACUCCGGCAUGGUGCCGAUGACGGGCUUCACGCAGAGAGCCACCAUCGACCCCGAGCUCAACGAGAUCCACGUCCUGUCGGGCCUCAGCAAGGACAAGGACAAGCGGGAGGAGAACGUACGCAACUCCUUCUGGAUCUACGACAUCGCCCGCAACAACUGGUCUUGUGUGUAUAAGAACGAUCAGGCAGUGAAAGAAAACCCGAGCAAGGCUCUACAGGAGGAGGAGCCUUGUCCACGCUUUGCACACCAGCUGGUCUACGAUGAGAUGCACAAGGUGCACUACUUGUUUGGCGGAAACCCGGGAAAGUCUUGUUCUCCCAAGAUGCGUCUGGACGACUUCUGGUCCCUCAAACUGUGUCGGCCCUCCAAGGAGUAUCUGCUGCGCCACUGCAGAUACCUCAUCAGGAAGUACAGGUUUGAGGAGAAAGCCCAAUCAGAGCCGCUGAACGCGCUGAAGUACCUGCAGAACGACCUCUCGCUCACCGUGGAUCACACGGACCCGGACGAGACCAAAGAGUUCCAGCUCCUGCCCUCGGCGCUCUUCAAGUCCAGCUCUGAUUUCAUCCCACUGGGUUUCUCCGACGUGGACCAGACGUACGCUCAGAGGACGCAGCUCUUCGACACACUCGUCAACUUCUUCCCGGACAGCAUGACUCCUCCCAAGGGCAACCUGGUAGACCUCAUCACGCUCUAGCCCCUCCCCCCCCCCCUCCCCCCUGCAAUUACCUCACCCACUGGAGGAGACAGAGACCAGUUAUUUUUCUAUUCCUGAACCUUCCUGUGGGAUUUAACCAUUAUCACCACCAUCACUGAGCUGCUGUCAGUCUGCGCCCCCUGCUGGAUGUACCUGCAGAUCAGAAAAGUCUUCUCUACAGGAACGGCAUUCCCAGGAUGGAGGGAAAGGGUCGGCAUGGAGCAGGAAGUGUGGAUAGUUUUGUUUGUUUUGUUCCUUCGUCUCUACAGGUGAGUAUCCUCCUCGUCGGCGAUGUCCUCCUUCAGCAGGUUGUCUAUGGGGACGAUCCAGCUGUCGUUGAACUCUCCGUUUAGGGCCAUCUUCUUCUCCUGCAUCUCCGGCUGCACCUCCAUCACCUCCAGUGUUGGGUUAUCGUGGUAUCCGUUCUCCACCGUGUGCAACUCCUCCGUCAGAUGCUGCUGUAGAGAUAAAGGAGGAAGAAGUCAACAGAAAAGCUGUGUAUAGUAACUUAAAGUCAAUGUAUUGAGAUGUCUACCUUUCAGAACUGCAUUUUAUUAUAUUAUCACGAAAAAACUUGCUAUUUAAGGGAGAAUGUUGUUGAAGCAUGUGGGUAAAACAUGUGCUUCAAUAAAAAGCAUCAGCUGACUGUAAUGUAAAGAAACGUGCUCCACCUACCUGGUUCUCGUUGUACGGCUUGCGGUGGUGGGACGCACAAACAGCGAGGAUGACGAUCAUGAUCAGCAGAGCUCCACAGGAGGCCAGGAUGGCUAUCAGAGUUUUGUUAUCUGUUGGUUUCUUCAAGUAGAAACACACAGGAGGAUUACUUCUUUCACAAUGACAGAUUCAAACCACUAAUCCUGCUAGUAUAUUCAAUGUAUUAACCCUUACCUUGGUGAUUUCUUCAUAGUACUGGUUUGCAAGGUUUGUUGUCACUGUAAGACACAUUUUUCAGUAGUUAAGAAUUCAGCUUACAGUUCAUUUGACCUGACAAAUGUAAUUUUUCUUAUAGGAGGAAGAUGCUUUACCUUUGCCGUUUAUCUCCACACAGUCAAACUGUAAUCUGCCAUUGUCGUGCCGCCAUGACAGGGUGCAGUUUCCAUCUUCCAGGUUCUCCAUCAGCCGCUUGCACACCAGUACCAGAUCUUUUUCCUCCUCUUUCUGAAGGAUCUGGAUCAAGGCCGUCUCCUGCCGCCACGCCCUGCUUGGGAACUGGGAUGUUGAUAUAGUUCCCCCCCCCCCAUCUAUUGUUCUCGCAUGUACGCCAGCCAGCGCAAGACACCAGCCCAGUGUGCCAAGCAGGCAGCGUCUCCCCGAGGCCGGGAACCCUGGCUGUUAUCUUGUAGGAAACGGACAAGAUGUGAAUCUGCAAAAACGCAUGAGAGAGACGGGGAGGAAGUCCUGGAGACGACUGAUAACUGAUGAUGCUGCGGCCUCCUUCCUGAUGUCCAGCCAUGCACAUCCAAGAAUACAUCCAAGAGGACAAACACUACAGAAAUCACUGAGAAAAUGCACCGUAACCCCAACAGGAAAAUGGUCUUCGUUGUUUGCUGCUCAACCCUGAGUGGGAGGAGGCCUGACACGAGAGUAAUGAUGGGACCCAGAACUCUCCACACCUUGUUAUCUGAAGCCUGGUACCAAGUGGAGCUGCAUCUGGAGCCGUGACUACAGUACGUCGAUGUGUGUGAGUGUGGGUGUUUUUCUUAAAGAUUUUUGGAAAGGUUCAGGGUCAGAAGGUUCUGCUCUAAGCAAAUGCCUCUCCUUUGUUUUGACUGUGAACAGAUUUGUUGUUAACCCUCCUUCUAUCUGUUUACACAUUUCCUCUUCGGAAUGGAGAAGGUGGAGGGGCGUAAAGGUUAAAGGGAGGAAGUAGGUGACGUAUGAUACCUUAAGAAAGGGAGUGGAAGGAGGUGUUUGUGUGUGCCAUGGAGGAACAUUCCCUGGAGAGGAAGCUAACUGACUGUGGAGUCUCGAGGGAAUCAGUGACAGCCGGGGUCGAGCUGACGGACACACACCUCUAUCUGCCUUUGAAAGGACACACACACACACACACACACACACACACACACACUUAUCUGGAGGUGCUACAGCUCCGACUGACACCGCAAACUGUCGGCCAGAUCCACAGCAGACACACACACACACACACACACACACACACACACACACACACACACACACACACACACACACACACACACACACACACACACACACACACACACUGUCCUCUGAUGAAUAAGGCUCUGUUUUUGUUAGAAGAAAUCUCCGAGGUCAUUUCCAACUCUUCUCUGGCAAACGUCAGCCACAAUGAGAGAGUUCCUUUUGAACAGGUGCAUUCAUCAAAGCUCUGCACUUCCCAGGUCCCAAGUUUCCCCUUCGCUGUCUCCUAUCAGUGACACAUCUAGGUAGUGGAAUUGUUUCCAAGGUCAAGAUAUAACAGGACAUCUCAAUCCAGACUGUUUUACAAUACAUUUUCCCAUCCGAAUGAAAAGAAAGUUGCUUGGAAGAACUUCACUUUAGUUUUCAGAGUUCAAUCUUAUCUGCUACCUUUAUGGUUACAGAUUGGAGAAUCAGACUCAAAUCAGUGUCAUUUUAUACUCAUAAACCCUAACUUUAAACCUUAUUUUGGGAGAAUCCUCCACUCAUUAUCCAGAUUUUACUUUUUAAUAAGUAAGUGUAUUCACAGUAUAAAGAUAUUCUACUUUUGAACACCCUGAGCGUCCCUCUAACACCCCCCUCAGGACCAACUCUAACAUCAGUAUCUAGCUGAGAGACUUUUUAUCCUCCCAUAAUGUUAAGUAUUUAGUUAUAAAGCCAUAAAAUACUUGGAUUUUCAUCCGUAAGAGAUGGUUUGCUGUUAUUAAUAGUGUCUUAUAUUAACAAAGAGAUGGGUGGACGUGGAGGAUGACCAGACAAACUGUAGCACCAGAGGAAAGGGAAAGGGUGGAGGC
Eleginops maclovinus (Patagonian blennie) is the source of this 5200-nucleotide RNA transcript. It is a transcript of the gene named muskelin 1, intracellular mediator containing kelch motifs, with no coding region annotated. The transcript is spliced from 22 exons. Lineage: Eukaryota; Metazoa; Chordata; Actinopteri; Perciformes; Eleginopidae. The record is from RefSeq and is a predicted model, not a curated record.